AGUGAACGCUGGCGGUAGGCCUAACACAUGCAAGUCGAACGGCAGCACAGUAAGAGCUUGCUCUUACGGGUGGCGAGUGGCGGACGGGUGAGGAAUACAUCGGAAUCUACUUUUUCUUGGGGGAUAACGUAGGGAAACUUACGCUAAUACCGCAUACGACCUACGGGUGAAAGCAGGGGAUCUUCGGACCUUGCGCGAUUGAAUUAGCCGAUGUCGGAUUAGCUAGUUGGCGGGGUAAAGGCCCACCAAGGCGACGAUCCGUAGCUGGUCUGAGAGGAUGAUCAGCCACACUGGAACUGAGACACGGUCCAGACUCCUACGGGAGGCAGCAGUGGGGAAUAUUGGACAAUGGGCGCAAGCCUGAUCCAGCCAUACCGCGUGGGUGAAGAAGGCCUUCGGGUUGUAAAGCCCUUUUGUUGGGAAAGAAAAGAAGCAGGUUAAUACCCCGCUGUUCUGACGGUACCCAAAGAAUAAGCACCGGCUAACUUCGUG
RNAcentral lists this ribosomal RNA (492 nucleotides) under uncultured bacterium. Its description in RNAcentral is "partial 16S ribosomal RNA". It matches the Rfam family "Bacterial small subunit ribosomal RNA", at positions 29 to 507 of the family's 1533-position model. The record is from RNAcentral.